RNAcentral lists this ribosomal RNA (424 nucleotides) under uncultured Blautia sp. RNAcentral's name for it is "bacterial SSU rRNA". It matches the Rfam family "Bacterial small subunit ribosomal RNA", at positions 338 to 776 of the family's 1533-position model. The record is from RNAcentral. Lineage: Bacteria; Bacillati; Bacillota; Clostridia; Lachnospirales; Lachnospiraceae.
CCUACGGGCGGCAGCAGUGGGGAAUAUUGGGCAAUGGGCGAAAGCCUUACCCAGCAACGCCGCGUGAGGGAAGAAGGUUUUCGGAUUGUAAACCUCUGUCCUGGGGGACGAAGGAAGUGACGGUACCCCGGGAGGAAGCCCCGGCUAACUACGUGCCAGCAGCCGCGGUAAUACGUAGGGGGCGAGCGUUGUCCGGAAUUAUUGGGCGUAAAGGGCGCGUAGACGGCUGUGUAAGUUAUAGGUGAAAGCCCAACUUUCAAGGUUGGAACUGCCUGUAAUACUGCAUGGCUUGAGUGCAGGAGAGGGAAGCGGAAUUCCUAGUGUAGCGGUGAAAUGCGUAGAUAUUAGGAGGAACACCAGUGGCGAAGGCGGCUUUCUGGACUGUAACUGACGUUGAGGCGCGAAAGCGUGGGGAGCAAACAGG